Molecule: transfer RNA, 87 nt
Filed under: Gammaproteobacteria bacterium
Lineage: Bacteria; Pseudomonadati; Pseudomonadota; Gammaproteobacteria
Also listed under: 1 other name
Description: tRNA-Leu
Rfam family: tRNA
About the family: Transfer RNA (tRNA) molecules are approximately 80 nucleotides in length. Their secondary structure includes four short double-helical elements and three loops (D, anti-codon, and T loops). Further hydrogen bonds mediate the characteristic L-shaped molecular structure. tRNAs have two regions of fundamental functional importance: the anti-codon, which is responsible for specific mRNA codon recognition, and the 3' end, to which the tRNAs corresponding amino acid is attached (by aminoacyl-tRNA synthetases). tRNAs cope with the degeneracy of the genetic code in two manners: having more than one tRNA (with a specific anti-codon) for a particular amino acid; and 'wobble' base-pairing, i.e. permitting non-standard base-pairing at the 3rd anti-codon position.
Source: RNAcentral
GCCCGGGUGGCGAAAUUGGUAGACGCAAGGGACUUAAAAUCCCUCGGUAGAAAUACUGUGCCGGUUCGACUCCGGCCCCGGGCACCA